UUGUUGCUUUGGUCGUGAUUGGUUAAUCUAAACGUCAUCCAGGAAUCUGGCCAAUGACAACUGGGCACGCCUCCUACCGCUCAAAUUUGAAUUUACACACCAGUCCGUUGCUGCUCUGUUUAUCUGCAGUCCUGCUCCGUUCAGUGCAGUAGUAAUGGCUUUUACAUGGAUUAUCACAUAUCUGACAGAUUAAUUCUUAUUUUGACCAAUUUUUGAGUUAUGCGGUGCAGAUUGAGAACGAAAAAGCGCGAAUAUGAACACAGACACAAUGGCUAAUGGACACAUAUUGCAAACGGCAGAAGAGAGGACAUGACACCACCAUUCUUGGACUCUGAAGAAUACUAUGCAAACCAUGCUUUUGGAUCUACUAGUUUUUGUAAUAAAGCUGAGGUUUUGGGAUUGAAAAUCUUGUGCC
This is a long non-coding RNA of Onychostoma macrolepis, 415 nucleotides long. RefSeq lists it as uncharacterized. The record is from RefSeq and is a predicted model, not a curated record. The transcript has 3 exons. NCBI's taxonomy places the organism in Eukaryota, Metazoa, Chordata, Actinopteri, Cypriniformes, Cyprinidae.